Molecule: long non-coding RNA, 1278 nt
Organism: Populus nigra (black poplar)
Lineage: Eukaryota; Viridiplantae; Streptophyta; Magnoliopsida; Malpighiales; Salicaceae
Exons: 2
Source: RefSeq, a predicted model, not a curated record
UAAAGACUCUGGUUCUCUCCAAUUCACCACAGCAUGCAAAUUGCUUAACAUCUAAGCUAUAUCCCCAGCAAGAACCUGAAGACAUCACUCAGUGAGAUAACCCCUUCUACACGCUCGCUGCCAGCUUCCACAAUCAAAAGCCUCCUAACCCCUGAAAAGACCACGCAACAAAGCAAUUAGAAAACGUGUUACUAGUCCAGACCCCGAGGUCAGAACUACUUAUGGUGAAAAGUUGAUGUAGAAAAAAAAAUCAUAUUGCUGUAAGAGUACUGGGAUUUGCCAAACGCUACAUCACUUUGUGUAGAGAAUCAGUCCGCAAGCACAUCUGACAUAUCUGUCCAUUGUAGAAUGCAUUUGAAGAAUUUGCAUUCUGACCCAAUUGCAGAGCCUAAAAGGGUAUGAAAGAGCAGAUCAAUACAGAAGGUAUUAUAGCACAAGGUUAGGAGAGGUUAGAGAAGAUCAAUCAACAAUAUGCACACUCAGAAACAGAUAGAAGAGGACAGUUGUAGCUUGUGGUAAUCUUUUGACGUGUGAAUUACCUUGAGCCAACAAAGACAGAGCAGCACCGAGAGAAGCAUUUGGUCUCAACAUUGCAAAUGGCCGUCUGUUUGGUUCGCCAGUUUUUGGAACCCAUGUACCCAAAGGAAUCGAACAAAUUGGCUGUUGAAGAAUGGGUAAGGAGCCAGCAGAAUGUCUGAAAUACCUGCAUAUACCUGACAAUUAGGUCCAGGUGUUAGCAACAAGUUAUAUAUCAUGAAGCAUCAAACCAAGAAGGUUUACAUUUUAGUAUUCCAGACAGGGAAGCAAGAUAUAGUAGCUGCGGAAAUGAGCCCUGCCAGCAUAUUAAAUGAGUGGUGGAUAACUACUGCUUUAGGUUCGCUCGUUGUUUGGUGGAAUGAAAACACCAACAGUCCUGCCAUUGUUGGACUGUUGGACCUGAGUGAUCUUCACGUCAGAGUAGAGUUGUGAGGGCGAGAAACACUGAACCAACUUGUGAGAUCUGUGGUAGACAAUCUGGUAUAAGAUUUGGCUUGGAUUUGGUGAGACGAUUGGGUCUAACAGGGGCCAUUUGGAUGGCUUCUUCGAACGAUUUCCCCUGUUCUAGAGGAAGAAGAGAAUGAACAGUCUUUGGACCGACGCCGUUUUUGGCUGAAAAGGGUCAAUCUUCAAUUGCCCCCCUGAAGUUUUGAAGUCUUACAUUCAAGCCCUUGUCUUUUAAAAUUCAAUUUUUUUUUUAAUUUCGCCCCUUGAUCUAUGCAAAUUGCACCCUUGGAUUUC